GAUGAACGCUGGCGGCGUGCCUAAUACAUGCAAGUCGAGCGAACAGACGAGGAGCUUGCUCCUCUGACGUUAGCGGCGGACGGGUGAGUAACACGUGGAUAACCUACCUAUAAGACUGGGAUAACUUCGGGAAACCGGAGCUAAUACCGGAUAAUAUAUUGAACCGCAUGGUUCAAUAGUGAAAGACGGUUUUGCUGUCACUUAUAGAUGGAUCCGCGCCGCAUUAGCUAGUUGGUAAGGUAACGGCUUACCAAGGCAACGGUGCGUAGCCGACCUGAGAGGGUGAUCGGCCACACUGGAACUGAGACACGGUCCAGACUCCUACGGGAGGCAGCAGUAGGGAAUCUUCCGCAAAGGGCGAAAGCUUGACGGAGCAACGCCGCGUGAGUGAUGAAGGUCUUCGGAUCGUAAAACUCUGUUAUUAGGGAAGAACAAAUGUGUAAGUAACUAUGCACGUCUUGACGGUACCUAAUCAGAAAGCCACGGCUAACUACGUG
This 497-nucleotide ribosomal RNA is filed under the name uncultured bacterium. Its description in RNAcentral is "partial 16S ribosomal RNA". It matches the Rfam family "Bacterial small subunit ribosomal RNA", at positions 28 to 507 of the family's 1533-position model. The record is from RNAcentral.